This 328-nucleotide unclassified non-coding RNA is filed under the name soil metagenome. RNAcentral describes it as "partial contains 5.8S ribosomal RNA, internal transcribed spacer 2, and large subunit ribosomal RNA". The stretch from base 1 to 120 matches the Rfam family "5.8S ribosomal RNA", at positions 35 to 154 of the family's 154-position model. The record is from RNAcentral.
GAUGAAGAACGCAGCGAAAUGCGAUAAGUAGUGUGAAUUGCAGAAUUCAGUGAAUCAUCGAAUCUUUGAACGCACAUUGCGCCCCUUGGUAUCCCGAGGGGCAUGCCUGUUCGAGCGUCAUUUCACCACUCAAGCCUGGCUUGGUGUUGGGCGACGUCCCCUUUAGGGACGCGCCUUGAAACGCUCGGCGGCGUGGCACCGGCUUUAAGCGUAGCAGAAUCUUUCGCUUUGGAAGUCGGGGCCCCGCCUGCCGGAAUACCUACUCGUAAGGUUGACCUCGGAUCAGGCAGGGAUACCCGCUGAACUUAAGCAUAUCAUAAGCGGAGGA